RNAcentral lists this long non-coding RNA (682 nucleotides) under Mus musculus (house mouse). RNAcentral's name for it is "long non-coding RNA chr12:19300332-19301014". Lineage: Eukaryota; Metazoa; Chordata; Mammalia; Rodentia; Muridae. The record is from RNAcentral.
UGCAGAGAAUGUAUACUUCUUUGUAGGAACUGUAGUAAACAACUGAGUUCUUUCUAUCAUUUUUGUAUCUGUGGUUGAUAUUUGCAGUGGAGUAAGGGUCUUAGUAUGUAACCUCUGCUGUCCUGGAAUGUGUUACAUAGAACAGACAGGGAUCCAGCUCAAUGACGUAUACCUGCCCUUGACUCUGGGAUUAAAGACAUGAACAAAUACACCCUGCUUGUCCAUGAUUUUUCUCAUUAGUGAUUCUUCUUACAAUUUCUGGGAUGUGUCCUCAGUACUGUUGAUCUAUUUCACCCUACAUCUCCCUCUCAAUUUUAAUUCCUCUCGAAAGACUUCACCCUAUUCAUUUAAAAUGUUCAUAAGCAACACAGGUGAACCUUUAACUCAAUUUCCUUUAAAAUGUUAUGGUACUUACAUUAUAACUUCUGUGUCAGGAAGUCAGUGGAGGAAGCACCAGAAUUACAUGAAUAUAUGGUCAAGGAAGCGUACAUUUACUUUACAGUGAUGUCAGUACCAUGCUUUGUGAUGUACACAUGUAUGGGGUAUUUUAGGAUGCAGUGACUUAUGAUGAUGUGCAUGUGAACUUCACUGGGGAAGAGUGGAAUUUGCUGGAUCCUUCUCAGAAGAGUCUCUACAAAGAUGUAAUGCUGGAGACCUACUGGAACCUCACUGUUAUAGGUAU